GAUGAACGCUGGCGGCGUGCCUAAUACAUGCAAGUCGAGCGAACGGACGAGAAGCUUGCUUCUCUGAUGUUAGCGGCGGACGGGUGAGUAACACGUUGAUAACCUACCUAUAAGACUGGGAUAACUUCGGGAAACCGGAGCUAAUACCGGAUAAUAUUUUGAACCGCAUGGUUCAAAAGUGAAAGACGGUCUUGCUGUCACUUAUAGAUGGAUCCGCGCUGCAUUAGCUAGUUGGUAAGGUAACGGCUUACCAAGGCAACGAUGCAUAGCCGACCUGAGAGGGUGAUCGGCCACACUGGAACUGAGACACGGUCCAGAAUCCUACGGGAGGCAGCAGUAGGGAAUCUUCCGCAAUGGGCGAAAGCCUGACGGAGCAACGCCGCGUGAGUGAUGAAGGUCUUCGGAUCGUAAAACUCUGUUAUUAGGGAAGAACAUAUGUGUAAGUAACUGUGCACAUCUUGACGGUACCUAAUCAGAAAGCCACGGCUAACUACGUG
Molecule: ribosomal RNA, 497 nt
Filed under: uncultured bacterium
Lineage: Bacteria
Description: partial 16S ribosomal RNA
Rfam family: Bacterial small subunit ribosomal RNA
Source: RNAcentral